ACUCCAGUGGCCUAAUGGAUAAGGCACUGGCCUCCUAAGCUGGGGAUUGCGGGUUUGAGUCCCACCUCGUGUG
RNAcentral lists this transfer RNA (73 nucleotides) under Mustela putorius furo (domestic ferret). It matches the Rfam family "tRNA". From Rfam's summary of the family: Transfer RNA (tRNA) molecules are approximately 80 nucleotides in length. Their secondary structure includes four short double-helical elements and three loops (D, anti-codon, and T loops). The record is from Rfam by way of RNAcentral. Lineage: Eukaryota; Metazoa; Chordata; Mammalia; Carnivora; Mustelidae.